CCGCUCUAGGUCUCAGCGAGACGGGUAGCCGGCCUGAGAGGGCGACCGGCCACACUGGGACUGAGACACGGCCCAGACUCCUACGGGAGGCAGCAGUGGGGAAUAUUGCACAAUGGGCGAAAGCCUGAUGCAGCGACGCCGCGUGAGGGAUGACGGCCUUCGGGUUGUAAACCUCUUUCAGCAGGGAAGAAGCGAAAGUGACGGUACCUGCAGAAGAAGCGCCGGCUAACUACGUGCCAGCAGCCGCGGUAAUACGUAGGGCGCAAGCGUUGUCCGGAAUUAUUGGGCGUAAAGAGCUCGUAGGCGGCUUGUCACGUCGGAUGUGAAAGCCCGGGGCUUAACCCCGGGUCUGCAUUCGAUACGGGCUAGCUAGAGUGUGGUAGGGGAGAUCGGAAUUCCUGGUGUAGCGGUGAAAUGCGCAGAUAUCAGGAGGAACACCGGUGGCGAAGGCGGAUCUCUGGGCCAUUACUGACGCUGAGGAGCGAAAGCGUGGGGAGCGAACAGGAUUAGAUACCCUGGUAGUCCACGCCGUAAACGUUGGGAACUAGGUGUUGGCGACAUUCCACGUCGUCGGUGCCGCAGCUAACGCAUUAAGUUCCCCGCCAGGGAAGAGUACGGA
This 619-nucleotide ribosomal RNA is filed under the name Streptomyces sp. RNAcentral describes it as "bacterial SSU rRNA". It matches the Rfam family "Bacterial small subunit ribosomal RNA", at positions 261 to 886 of the family's 1533-position model. Lineage: Bacteria; Bacillati; Actinomycetota; Actinomycetes; Kitasatosporales; Streptomycetaceae. The record is from RNAcentral.